UUAAGCGACUAAGCGUACACGGUGGAUGCCCUGGCAGUCAGAGGCGAUGAAGGACGUGCUAAUCUGCGAUAAGCGUCGGUAAGGUGAUAUGAACCGUUAUAACCGGCGAUUUCCGAAUGGGGAAACCCAGUGUGAUUCGACACACUAUCAUUAACUGAAUCCAUAGGUUAAUGAGGCGAACCGGGGGAACUGAAACAUCUAAGUACCCCGAGGAAAAGAAAUCAACCGAGAUUCCCCCAGUAGCGGCGAGCGAACGGGGAGCAGCCCAGAGCCUGAAUCAGUGUGUGUGUUAGUGGAAGCGUCUGGAAAGGCGCGCGAUACAGGGUGACAGCCCCGUACACAAAAAUGCACAUGCUGUGAGCUCGAUGAGUAGGGCGGGACACGUGGUAUCCUGUCUGAAUAUGGGGGGACCAUCCUCCAAGGCUAAAUACUCCUGACUGACCGAUAGUGAACCAGUACCGUGAGGGAAAGGCGAAAAGAACCCCGGCGAGGGGAGUGAAAAAGAACCUGAAACCGUGUACGUACAAGCAGUGGGAGCACGCUUAGGCGUGUGACUGCGUACCUUUUGUAUAAUGGGUCAGCGACUUAUAUUCUGUAGCAAGGUUAACCGAAUAGGGGAGCCGAAGGGAAACCGAGUCUUAACUGGGCGUUAAGUUGCAGGGUAUAGACCCGAAACCCGGUGAUCUAGCCAUGGGCAGGUUGAAGGUUGGGUAACACUAACUGGAGGACCGAACCGACUAAUGUUGAAAAAUUAGCGGAUGACUUGUGGCUGGGGGUGAAAGGCCAAUCAAACCGGGAGAUAGCUGGUUCUCCCCGAAAGCUAUUUAGGUAGCGCCUCGUGAAUUCAUCUCCGGGGGUAGAGCACUGUUUCGGCAAGGGGGUCAUCCCGACUUACCAACCCGAUGCAAACUGCGAAUACCGGAGAAUGUUAUCACGGGAGACACACGGCGGGUGCUAACGUCCGUCGUGAAGAGGGAAACAACCCAGACCGCCAGCUAAGGUCCCAAAGUCAUGGUUAAGUGGGAAACGAUGUGGGAAGGCCCAGACAGCCAGGAUGUUGGCUUAGAAGCAGCCAUCAUUUAAAGAAAGCGUAAUAGCUCACUGGUCGAGUCGGCCUGCGCGGAAGAUGUAACGGGGCUAAACCAUGCACCGAAGCUGCGGCAGCGACGCUUAUGCGUUGUUGGGUAGGGGAGCGUUCUGUAAGCCUGUGAAGGUGUACUGUGAGGUAUGCUGGAGGUAUCAGAAGUGCGAAUGCUGACAUAAGUAACGAUAAAGCGGGUGAAAAGCCCGCUCGCCGGAAGACCAAGGGUUCCUGUCCAACGUUAAUCGGGGCAGGGUGAGUCGACCCCUAAGGCGAGGCCGAAAGGCGUAGUCGAUGGGAAACAGGUUAAUAUUCCUGUACUUGGUGUUACUGCGAAGGGGGGACGGAGAAGGCUAUGUUGGCCGGGCGACGGUUGUCCCGGUUUAAGCGUGUAGGCUGGUUUUCCAGGCAAAUCCGGAAAAUCAAGGCUGAGGCGUGAUGACGAGGCACUACGGUGCUGAAGCAACAAAUGCCCUGCUUCCAGGAAAAGCCUCUAAGCAUCAGGUAACAUCAAAUCGUACCCCAAACCGACACAGGUGGUCAGGUAGAGAAUACCAAGGCGCUUGAGAGAACUCGGGUGAAGGAACUAGGCAAAAUGGUGCCGUAACUUCGGGAGAAGGCACGCUGAUAUGUAGGUGAAGCGACUUGCUCGUGGAGCUGAAAUCAGUCGAAGAUACCAGCUGGCUGCAACUGUUUAUUAAAAACACAGCACUGUGCAAACACGAAAGUGGACGUAUACGGUGUGACGCCUGCCCGGUGCCGGAAGGUUAAUUGAUGGGGUCAGCGCAAGCGAAGCUCUUGAUCGAAGCCCCGGUAAACGGCGGCCGUAACUAUAACGGUCCUAAGGUAGCGAAAUUCCUUGUCGGGUAAGUUCCGACCUGCACGAAUGGCGUAAUGAUGGCCAGGCUGUCUCCACCCGAGACUCAGUGAAAUUGAACUCGCUGUGAAGAUGCAGUGUACCCGCGGCAAGACGGAAAGACCCCGUGAACCUUUACUAUAGCUUGACACUGAACAUUGAGCCUUGAUGUGUAGGAUAGGUGGGAGGCUUUGAAGUGUGGACGCCAGUCUGCAUGGAGCCGACCUUGAAAUACCACCCUUUAAUGUUUGAUGUUCUAACGUGGACCCGUAAUCCGGGUUGCGGACAGUGUCUGGUGGGUAGUUUGACUGGGGCGGUCUCCUCCUAAAGAGUAACGGAGGAGCACGAAGGUUGGCUAAUCCUGGUCGGACAUCAGGAGGUUAGUGCAAUGGCAUAAGCCAGCUUGACUGCGAGCGUGACGGCGCGAGCAGGUGCGAAAGCAGGUCAUAGUGAUCCGGUGGUUCUGAAUGGAAGGGCCAUCGCUCAACGGAUAAAAGGUACUCCGGGGAUAACAGGCUGAUACCGCCCAAGAGUUCAUAUCGACGGCGGUGUUUGGCACCUCGAUGUCGGCUCAUCACAUCCUGGGGCUGAAGUAGGUCCCAAGGGUAUGGCUGUUCGCCAUUUAAAGUGGUACGCGAGCUGGGUUUAGAACGUCGUGAGACAGUUCGGUCCCUAUCUGCCGUGGGCGCUGGAGAACUGAGGGGGGCUGCUCCUAGUACGAGAGGACCGGAGUGGACGCAUCACUGGUGUUCGGGUUGUCAUGCCAAUGGCACUGCCCGGUAGCUAAAUGCGGAAGAGAUAAGUGCUGAAAGCAUCUAAGCACGAAACUUGCCCCGAGAUGAGUUCUCCCUGACUCCUUGAGAGUCCUGAAGGAACGUUGAAGACGACGACGUUGAUAGGCCGGGUGUGUAAGCGCAGCGAUGCGUUGAGCUAACCGGUACUAAUGAACCGUGAGGCUUAACCUU
RNAcentral lists this ribosomal RNA (2902 nucleotides) under Escherichia coli O104:H4 str. 11-02030. RNAcentral describes it as "bacterial LSU rRNA". It matches the Rfam family "Bacterial large subunit ribosomal RNA". RNAcentral also lists the same sequence under 8 other names. The record is from RNAcentral. Lineage: Bacteria; Pseudomonadati; Pseudomonadota; Gammaproteobacteria; Enterobacterales; Enterobacteriaceae.